This 73-nucleotide transfer RNA is filed under the name Felis catus (domestic cat). It matches the Rfam family "tRNA". Rfam says of the family: Transfer RNA (tRNA) molecules are approximately 80 nucleotides in length. Their secondary structure includes four short double-helical elements and three loops (D, anti-codon, and T loops). Further hydrogen bonds mediate the characteristic L-shaped molecular structure. tRNAs have two regions of fundamental functional importance: the anti-codon, which is responsible for specific mRNA codon recognition, and the 3' end, to which the tRNAs corresponding amino acid is attached (by aminoacyl-tRNA synthetases). tRNAs cope with the degeneracy of the genetic code in two manners: having more than one tRNA (with a specific anti-codon) for a particular amino acid; and 'wobble' base-pairing, i.e. permitting non-standard base-pairing at the 3rd anti-codon position. Lineage: Eukaryota; Metazoa; Chordata; Mammalia; Carnivora; Felidae. The record is from Rfam by way of RNAcentral. RNAcentral also lists the same sequence under 4 other names.
GCCUAGCUGGCUUAGUCGGUAAAGCAUGUGACUCUUGAUCUCAAGGUUGUGAGUUCAAGCCUCAUGUUGGGUA